ACUGAAACAGCCAUAAAAACAAUCUGCACAUUGGCAUUGAGGACACAGAUAAACUUGCAUAAAUCCCUUAUGGUGUCAGAGGGAUGCUUUGUAUGAGUCCUUAAUAGAUUAAUUAAUAGGUUAAUUAAGUUCUUGCUGUUUUCAUUUGGAAAUGAUACUGUCCUCUUGGGGCUAUUCAGAGAUGUUCAUGGUGAUGAAACGAGCUGGCCUGGAAUGGCAGUUCCCAGGUAGCAGAGCCUGGGCUUGAGGAAGGUGGAACGUGGGUGUGGCAAGGAGCUGGCAGGUGCAAAUGUCAGGCCAGCAAUGCAGUCCAGCCUGCACGGACGUGCGUCACCUAGGAAGUUGUGACCUGGCUGCAGUUUCCACUUCAGGCUACAGAGUGCGGUGGCGCCAGCACAGAGCUCUGCUCAACGUCCCUCUGUGCUUUCACGAUGCUGAUGGAUUAUGAAGAUGAGGAAGCGGAUGCAUAGCAAGUUUAAAUAGCUUGCAGAAGGACACACAGUUUGCAAGUGAAGGAGCUCAAAUUCAAAGACUGGCAGUCUGCAUCCAGAGUUGAUCAUCUUAAAUACCAUGCUGAACCGGUUGCUCUCAAAGUCUAAACAGUAUUUUUUACAAUAAGAUAUCCUUUUGUAGGUCAACGAAUAGUUUCUAAUUCUUUUUAAAAUAAAAUACAAUGAACUGAAUACAAUUUAAUGCAUCAGAGUAAAUUUUACAUAGCAAAGUAUGUAUUAUUUUCUUUCAGCUAUGCAAUUCCACUAGUAUGAGGUAUCUACUGUAGUGAAACUCACAGAAACAGAAAG
Molecule: long non-coding RNA, 800 nt
Filed under: Homo sapiens (human)
Lineage: Eukaryota; Metazoa; Chordata; Mammalia; Primates; Hominidae
Description: HSALNT0116104
Source: RNAcentral